This 72-nucleotide transfer RNA is filed under the name Thelohanellus kitauei. RNAcentral's name for it is "tRNA-Gln for anticodon CUG". It matches the Rfam family "tRNA". Rfam says of the family: Transfer RNA (tRNA) molecules are approximately 80 nucleotides in length. Their secondary structure includes four short double-helical elements and three loops (D, anti-codon, and T loops). Lineage: Eukaryota; Metazoa; Cnidaria; Myxozoa; Bivalvulida; Myxobolidae. The record is from Rfam by way of RNAcentral.
GGCCCCGUGGUGUAAUGGUUAGCACGGCGGACUCUGAAUCCGCCAAUCCGAGUUCGAGUCUCGGCGGGGCUU